GACGAACGCUGGCGGCGUGCCUAAUACGUGCAAGUCGAACGCUUCUUUCCUCCCGAGUGCUUGCACUCAAUUGGAAAGAGGAGUGGCGGACGGGUGAGUAACACGUGGGUAACCUACCCAUCAGAGGGGGAUAACACUUGGAAACAGGUGCUAAUACCGCAUAACAGUUUAUGCCGCAUGGCAUAAGAGUGAAAGGCGCUUUCGGGUGUCGCUGAUGGAUGGACCCGCGGUGCAUUAGCUAGUUGGUGAGGUAACGGCUCACCAAGGCCACGAUGCAUAGCCGACCUGAGAGGGUGAUCGGCCACACUGGGACUGAGACACGGCCCAGACUCCUACGGGAGGCAGCAGUAGGGAAUCUUCGGCAAUGGACGAAAGUCUGACCGAGCAACGCCGCGUGAGUGAAGAAGGUUUUCGGAUCGUAAAACUCUGUUGUUAGAGAAGAACAAGGACGUUAGUAACUGAACGUCCCCUGACGGUAUCUAACCAGAAAGCCACGGCUAACUACGUG
RNAcentral lists this ribosomal RNA (508 nucleotides) under uncultured bacterium. RNAcentral's name for it is "partial 16S ribosomal RNA". It matches the Rfam family "Bacterial small subunit ribosomal RNA", at positions 28 to 507 of the family's 1533-position model. The record is from RNAcentral.